AACUCAGGAGAGAUCUGUGUAAAGCAGACGCCGAAGGUGUACGCGAAGGAGAUCUUCGUAAAAUCACUCAGGCAAAAGGAUGGAGGAGA
This 89-nucleotide non-coding RNA is filed under the name uncultured Anaerobutyricum sp. RNAcentral describes it as "Glycine riboswitch". It matches the Rfam family "Glycine riboswitch aptamer", at positions 9 to 86 of the family's 94-position model. From Rfam's summary of the family: This family represents the bacterial glycine riboswitch. Glycine riboswitches usually consist of two metabolite-binding aptamers domains with similar structures in tandem. The record is from RNAcentral. Lineage: Bacteria; Bacillati; Bacillota; Clostridia; Lachnospirales; Lachnospiraceae.